RNAcentral lists this long non-coding RNA (202 nucleotides) under Solanum tuberosum (potato). RNAcentral describes it as "long non-coding RNA (STUB_LNC011398)". The record is from RNAcentral. Lineage: Eukaryota; Viridiplantae; Streptophyta; Magnoliopsida; Solanales; Solanaceae.
AUGUGGGCUGUUGUUCUAUGUUAAUAGCGAUAUUUUCGUUAGUAUAUUAUGUUAGAACUCCAUCUUGUGUAUGUGUUUAAGUAUAAUUUUGCCACGAUUUAAUAUGGUUUUGAUGUUCAAGCUAUAUGUGAUUGAGUUGAGAGGUUCUAUUAAUAAUGAUAUUGCAAGAAAUUGCAGAAUGUUCCUCUUGCUUAUUUUCCUC